AUUGAACGCUGGCGGAAUGCUUUACACAUGCAAGUCGAACGGUAGAGGGGGCAACCCCUUGAGAGUGGCGAACGGGUGAGUAAUAUAUCGGAACGUGCCCAGUCGUGGGGAUAACGUAGCGAAAGCUACGCUAAUACCGCAUACGAUCUAUGGAUGAAAGCGGGGGAUCGCAAGACCUCGCGCGAUUGGAGCGGCCGAUAUCAGAUUAGGUAGUUGGUGAGGUAAAGGCUCACCAAGCCGACGAUCUGUAGCUGGUCUGAGAGGACGACCAGCCACACUGGGACUGAGACACGGCCCAGACUCCUACGGGAGGCAGCAGUGGGGAAUUUUUGGGACAAUGGGCGCAAGCCUGAUCCAGCAAUGCCGCGUGCAGGAUGAAGGCCUU
RNAcentral lists this ribosomal RNA (385 nucleotides) under uncultured bacterium. Its description in RNAcentral is "bacterial SSU rRNA". It matches the Rfam family "Bacterial small subunit ribosomal RNA", at positions 30 to 418 of the family's 1533-position model. The record is from RNAcentral.